Molecule: ribosomal RNA, 608 nt
Filed under: Streptomyces sp. ANA111
Lineage: Bacteria; Bacillati; Actinomycetota; Actinomycetes; Kitasatosporales; Streptomycetaceae
Description: bacterial SSU rRNA
Rfam family: Bacterial small subunit ribosomal RNA
Source: RNAcentral
CGGUUUCGGCCGGGGAUCAGUGGCGAACUGGUGAGUAACACGUGGGCAACCUGACCUGCACUCUGGGAUAAGCCCGGGAAACUGGGUCUAAUACCGGAUACGACUUCCCAUCGCAUGGUGGGAGGUGGAAAGUUCCGGCGGUGCAGGAUGGGCCCGCGGCCUAUCAGCUUGUUGGUGGGGUAAUGGCCUACCAAGGCGACGACGGGUAGCCGGCCUGAGAGGGCGACCGGCCACACUGGGACUGAGACACGGCCCAGACUCCUACGGGAGGCAGCAGUGGGGAAUAUUGCGCAAUGGGCGAAAGCCUGACGCAGCGACGCCGCGUGAGGGAUGACGGCCUUCGGGUUGUAAACCUCUUUCAGCAGGGAAGAAGCGCAAGUGACGGUACCUGCAGAAGAAGCACCGGCUAACUACGUGCCAGCAGCCGCGGUAAUACGUAGGGUGCGAGCGUUGUCCGGAAUUAUUGGGCGUAAAGAGCUCGUAGGCGGCUUGUCACGUCGGAUGUGAAAACCCGGGGCUCAACCCCGGGCCUGCAUUCGAUACGGGCAGGCUAGAGUUCGGCAGGGGAGACUGGAAUUCCUGGUGUAGCGGUGAAAUGCGCAGAUAUC